GGGGCCGUAGGGUAGCUUGGUCCAUCCUUCGAGCUUUGGGAGCUCGGGACUCCGAUUCAAAUUCGGGCGGCCCCACCA
RNAcentral lists this transfer RNA (78 nucleotides) under Candidatus Atribacteria bacterium. RNAcentral's name for it is "tRNA-Pro". RNAcentral also lists the same sequence under 2 other names. The record is from RNAcentral. Lineage: Bacteria; Pseudomonadati; Atribacterota; Atribacteria.